This 789-nucleotide long non-coding RNA is filed under the name Calidris pygmaea (Spoon-billed sandpiper). RNAcentral's name for it is "lncRNA (ENSCPGG00000009172.1)". The record is from RNAcentral. Lineage: Eukaryota; Metazoa; Chordata; Aves; Charadriiformes; Scolopacidae.
CAAUGGGAUUCGGGCUCCGCGGGAGGGCGGGAGGUUCUAGCGGGCGGGGCGGACCCGAACCAGUGGCUGAGGUACCGGUUGGUGGGGGGUUGAGAAAUGAAGAGUCGGUUCGCUUUACCCCGCUGUCAGGACGCCAGCCGGGACUGAGCGGGACGGUGGGGAAUCGGAGGCGCCCGGGGAAGCUGUUGGAAUGGCCUCCAAAGGGCAAAGUGAGGGUACAGAGCAUCCAUCUGAGCCUCCUGCAGCUCCUCUUCAGAGUAACGGAACAUUUCAAUGGGGAGCCAUACUCGCUGCCGUGAAAGAUCAGCUCCCCUCUCUGGACUCUGACACGUCCACAUCUGAUUGUGAGAGCGAUGGGGAGCUUUUCGUCUUCCAGCGGGAACAGCCGAACCUAAUUCCUGACCUGUCAGAAGAACUGAUGGAAUUUUCCCUGGAAGACUCAAACCUGCAGAAUAUUGAGAAGUGGGAUCUAGACAAGAUUCUUGAGGAGCUGGAGCAGCAGAAAGAAAACACUUGUGCAGAAGUUGCUUUGUCCUCAGCAGAUCAUGGGACCUUCAGGAGUAGGUCUGAAAAUCAGCUGAUGAAAAAGCUGGAAGAGCUGUCUGCCAGGCAUUCCAGGACCGUGCCUCCACGCUGCAGGUGGCCACCAGCCAAGCUCUCCUCCUUUCAAGAACAGCAAGAAAAUAAGAAGUAGGUUCUUUUCUGUCAGAUACACUGGGUAAUCAUGAUUGCCAGUAGGGAAACUAAUGGUGUUCUGUAGGUGUUUUUCUGUGUAGCCUCUGCAGAAAG